GAGUUUGAUCAUGGCUCAGAUUGAACGCUGGCGGCAUGCCUUACACAUGCAAGUCGAACGGCAGCACGGGUGCUUGCACCUGGUGGCGAGUGGCGAACGGGUGAGUAAUACAUCGGAACAUGUCCUGUAGUGGGGGAUAGCCCGGCGAAAGCCGGAUUAAUACCGCAUACGAUCUACGGAUGAAAGCGGGGGACCUUCGGGCCUCGCGCUAUAGGGUUGGCCGAUGGCUGAUUAGCUAGUUGGUGGGGUAAAGGCCUACCAAGGCGACGAUCAGUAGCUGGUCUGAGAGGACGACCAGCCACACUGGGACUGAGACACGGCCCAGACUCCUACGGGAGGCAGCAGUGGGGAAUUUUGGACAAUGGGCGAAAGCCUGAUCCAGCAAUGCCGCGUGUGUGAAGAAGGCCUUCGGGUUGUAAAGCACUUUUGUCCGGAAAGAAAUCCUUGGCUCUAAUACAGUCGGGGGAUGACGGUACCGGAAGAAUAAGCACCGGCUAACUACGUGCCAGCAGCCGCGGUAAUACGUAGGGUGCGAGCGUUAAUCGGAAUUACUGGGCGUAAAGCGUGCGCAGGCGGUUUGCUAAGACCGAUGUGAAAUCCCCGGGCUCAACCUGGGAACUGCAUUGGUGACUGGCAGGCUAGAGUAUGGCAGAGGGGGGUAGAAUUCCACGUGUAGCAGUGAAAUGCGUAGAGAUGUGGAGGAAUACCGAUGGCGAAGGCAGCCCCCUGGGCCAAUACUGACGCUCAUGCACGAAAGCGUGGGGAGCAAACAGGAUUAGAUACCCUGGUAGUCCACGCCCUAAACGAUGUCAACUAGUUGUUGGGGAUUCAUUUCCUUAGUAACGUAGCUAACGCGUGAAGUUGACCGCCUGGGGAGUACGGUCGCAAGAUUAAAACUCAAAGGAAUUGACGGGGACCCGCACAAGCGGUGGAUGAUGUGGAUUAAUUCGAUGCAACGCGAAAAACCUUACCUACCCUUGACAUGGUCGGAAUCCCGCUGAGAGGUGGGAGUGCUCGAAAGAGAACCGGCGCACAGGUGCUGCAUGGCUGUCGUCAGCUCGUGUCGUGAGAUGUUGGGUUAAGUCCCGCAACGAGCGCAACCCUUGUCCUUAGUUGCUACGCAAGAGCACUCUAAGGAGACUGCCGGUGACAAACCGGAGGAGGGUGGGGAUGACGUCAAGUCCUCAUGGCCCUUAUGGGUAGGGCUUCACACGUCAUACAAUGGUCGGAACGGAGGGUUGCCAACCCGCGAGGGGGAGCUAAUCCCAGAAAACCGAUCGUAGUCCGGAUUGCACUCUGCAACUCGAGUGCAUGAAGCCGGAAUCGCUAGUAAUCGCGGAUCAGCAUGCCGCGGUGAAUACGU
RNAcentral lists this ribosomal RNA (1363 nucleotides) under unidentified marine bacterioplankton. RNAcentral's name for it is "bacterial SSU rRNA". It matches the Rfam family "Bacterial small subunit ribosomal RNA", at positions 9 to 1371 of the family's 1533-position model. The record is from RNAcentral.